UGGGGAAUAUUGCGCAAUGGGGGAAACCCUGACGCAGCGACGCCGCGUGAAGGAAGAAGGUUUUCGGAUUGUAAACUUCUAUCAGCAGGGAAGAUGAUGACAGUACCUGACUAAGAAGCCCCGGCUAACUACGUGCCAGCAGCCGCGGUAAUACGUAGGGGGCAAGCGUUAUCCGGAUUUACUGGGUGUAAAGGGUGCGUAGGUGGCUAGAUAAGUCAGAUGUGAAAGCCCGGGGCUCAACUCCGGGACUGCAUUUGAAACUGUAGAGCUAGAGUGCAGGAGAGGUAAGUGGAAUUCCUAGUGUAGCGGUGAAAUGCGUAGAUAUUAGGAGGAACACCAGUGGCGAAGGCGGCUUACUGGACUGUAACUGACACUGAGGCACGAAAGCGUGGGGAGCAAACAGG
RNAcentral lists this ribosomal RNA (404 nucleotides) under uncultured prokaryote. RNAcentral describes it as "bacterial SSU rRNA". It matches the Rfam family "Bacterial small subunit ribosomal RNA", at positions 355 to 776 of the family's 1533-position model. The record is from RNAcentral. RNAcentral also lists the same sequence under 1 other name.